This 256-nucleotide ribosomal RNA is filed under the name uncultured bacterium. RNAcentral describes it as "partial 16S ribosomal RNA". It matches the Rfam family "Bacterial small subunit ribosomal RNA", at positions 101 to 353 of the family's 1533-position model. The record is from RNAcentral.
AACGGGUGAGUAACGCGUGAGGAACCUGCCUCAAAGAGGGGGACAACAGUUGGAAACGACUGCUAAUACCGCAUAAGCCCACGGCUCGGCAUCGAGCAGAGGGAAAAGGAGCAAUCCGCUUUGAGAUGGCCUCGCGUCCGAUUAGCUAGUUGGUGAGGUAAUGGCCCACCAAGGCGACGAUCGGUAGCCGGACUGAGAGGUUGAACGGCCACAUUGGGACUGAGACACGGCCCAGACUCCUACGGGAGGCAGCAUG